RNAcentral lists this transfer RNA (75 nucleotides) under Acidithiobacillus ferrooxidans. RNAcentral's name for it is "tRNA-Met". RNAcentral also lists the same sequence under 1 other name. Lineage: Bacteria; Pseudomonadati; Pseudomonadota; Acidithiobacillia; Acidithiobacillales; Acidithiobacillaceae. The record is from RNAcentral.
AGCGGGAAGGUAGAAAGGACUUACGUCCGGCCUCAUAAGCCGGAAGACGCCGUUCGAGUCGGCAUUCCGCUACCA